This 451-nucleotide ribosomal RNA is filed under the name uncultured bacterium. RNAcentral describes it as "partial 16S ribosomal RNA". It matches the Rfam family "Bacterial small subunit ribosomal RNA", at positions 354 to 796 of the family's 1533-position model. The record is from RNAcentral.
GUAGGGAAUAUUGCGCAAUGGGGGAAACCCUGACGCAGCAACGCCGCGUGAGUGAGGAAGGUCUUCGGAUUGUAAAACUCUUUUAUUAGGGAAAAAUGUCUAGGUGGCUAAUAUCCACUUAGAGUGAUGGUACCUAAGGAAUAAGCACCGGCUAACUUCGUGCCAGCAGCCGCGGUAAUACGAAGGGUGCAAGCGUUGUUCGGAAUCAUUGGGCGUAAAGCGCGCGCAGGCGGGUCAGUAAGUCAGGUGUGAAAUCUCGGAGCUCAACUCCGAAACUGCGCCUGAAACUAUUGGUCUAGAGUAUCGGAGGGGACAGGGGAAUUUCACGUGUAGGGGUAAAAUCCGUAGAGAUGUGAAGGAACACCGGAGGCGAAGGCGCCUGUCUGGACGAUUACUGACGCUGAGGCGCGAAAGCGUGGGGAGCAAACAGGAUUAGAAACCCCUGUAGUCC